This 406-nucleotide ribosomal RNA is filed under the name uncultured bacterium. RNAcentral describes it as "bacterial SSU rRNA". It matches the Rfam family "Bacterial small subunit ribosomal RNA", at positions 355 to 775 of the family's 1533-position model. The record is from RNAcentral.
UGGGGAAUAUUGGGCAAUGGGGGAAACCCUGACCCAGCAACGCCGCGUGAAGGACGAAGGCCUUCGGGUUGUAAACUUCUUUGAUCAGGGACGAAAAAAAUGACGGUACCUGAAGAACAAGCCACGGCUAACUACGUGCCAGCAGCCGCGGUAAUACGUAGGUGGCGAGCGUUAUCCGGAUUUACUGGGUGUAAAGGGCGUGCAGGCGGGUCCGCAAGUCGGGUGUGAAAUAUCCGGGCUUAACCCGGAAAGGUCAUUCGAAACUGCGGAUCUUGAGUACUGGAGAGGACAGUGGAAUUCCUGGUGUAGCGGUAAAAUGCGUAGAUAUCAGGAGGAACACCAGUGGCGAAGGCGGCUGUCUGGACAGUAACUGACGCUGAGGCGCGAAAGCGUGGGGAGCAAACAG